This 351-nucleotide ribosomal RNA is filed under the name Triticum aestivum (bread wheat). RNAcentral's name for it is "partial small subunit ribosomal RNA". Lineage: Eukaryota; Viridiplantae; Streptophyta; Magnoliopsida; Poales; Poaceae. The record is from RNAcentral.
AUGGCGUGCGUCGACAUCCAUGGCAUGAGCGUGACGCUCACGUUGGUGGACCAGCUGUCGCACGCCGUGAAGAAGAGAUCCGCCGACGAGAAUCUUGUCCUCGCCGACGAGUCCGAGGCCAGUGGAUGGUCUUCGGCGGUCUCCGACCGCAGGCUCGCCCUGCGCCGCCGGCGAGGUCCGGCUUCCUCUUCCUGCCGCCGCGGCUGCAUCGUGGUGACGGAGGGGCCGGACUGCCGUGCCGAGGAGGCGGUUCAGCAGGUUGUGCUGGGAGAAAUCGAAGGCGCCCAGCUAGCUGCACCGGAGAUCAAGGCUUCCUCUGUUGAGGAGCUGGUCUACUGGACAGUACUCUAA